UCCGAGUUGACCCCGGCAGUCUCUUAUGAGUCCCCACCAUUACGUGCUGGCAACAUAAGACGAGGGUUGCGCUCGUUGCGGGACUUAACCCAACAUCUCACGACACGAGCUGACGACAACCAUGCACCACCUGUAUACCGACCUUGCGGGGAGACUGUUUCCAGCCUUUUCCGGUAUAUGUCAAGCCUUGGUAAGGUUCUUCGCGUUGCCUCGAAUUAAUCCGCAUGCUCCGCCGCUUGUGCGGGCCCCCGUCAAUUCCUUUGAGUUUUAGCCUUGCGGCCGUACUCCCCAGGCGGGGCGCUUAAUGCGUUAGCUGCGGCACGGAGAACGUGGAAGGUUCCCCACACCUAGCGCCCAACGUUUACGGCGUGGGCUAC
This 377-nucleotide unclassified non-coding RNA is filed under the name uncultured Actinomycetes bacterium. RNAcentral's name for it is "uncultured actinobacterium contains 16S-23S intergenic spacer region". The record is from RNAcentral. Lineage: Bacteria; Bacillati; Actinomycetota; Actinomycetes.